CCUUCCAUGAAGCUGGAAUUGCUAGUAAUGGCAGGUCAGCAUACUGCCGUGAAUACGUUCCCGGGCCUUGUACACACCGCCCGUCACACCAUGAGAGUUGGAAAUACCCGAAGCCUGUGAGCUAACUUAAAGAGGCAGCAGUCGAAGGUAGAGCCAAUGAUUGGGGUGAAGUCGUAACAAGGUACC
RNAcentral lists this ribosomal RNA (186 nucleotides) under uncultured bacterium. RNAcentral describes it as "partial 16S ribosomal RNA". It matches the Rfam family "Bacterial small subunit ribosomal RNA", at positions 1314 to 1500 of the family's 1533-position model. The record is from RNAcentral.